Molecule: non-coding RNA, 139 nt
Organism: Myotis lucifugus (little brown bat)
Lineage: Eukaryota; Metazoa; Chordata; Mammalia; Chiroptera; Vespertilionidae
Source: Rfam
AGCUUUGCACAGUGGCAGUGUCAUAGCCAAUGAGUUUUAUCCAAGGCACGAUUAUUGCUAAUUGAAAAUUUAAUUUCUGUACAGUAAUUCUGUUUUGUGAACAUAGUGUUAUAUGUAUAUAUUUACUUAUUGAGGAGUG